This 652-nucleotide unclassified non-coding RNA is filed under the name Hevea brasiliensis (rubber tree). Lineage: Eukaryota; Viridiplantae; Streptophyta; Magnoliopsida; Malpighiales; Euphorbiaceae. The record is from RNAcentral.
GAGGCGUGUCUCCUGCUGGUUUGAGCCAAACCUCAAGCGGAAUGUCAUAGUUCACAUGUUUAUGUUCUGUUAAAUAUGGAAGGGGCUCAGGUUCCUGCUUUGGAGCAUUGCAAGCAAAAGGUUCUAGAGCAUCUAGGGUCACAAUCCAAGGUGAAAUUGUUGUACCAAAGUUCUUCCCAAGGAAAGGCCCGAGAGGAACAUACUCCCAUGAUUGGAUAUCUCUAGCACUCCAGUCAUUCAUUAGAACGAGUCCAAAAAUAUGAUCUUUGGCUUUGUCGAUAUCUACCGGUUUGCCCAAUUCAUUUCCAGGACCAACUAUAACAGCCAUUUCAAGUUCGAAAUCCAGCUUUUGUGAGGGCCCGAAAUAAGGUGGAGAAUUUCCCACUGGAUGGGCUUGACCUCUUGGUCGAAUAAUAUCUGUUCCAGAAAUUACUACAGAUGAUGCCCGGCCAUGAUAAGCUACAGGAAGGUGAAACCAGUUUUGUAAAAUUGGAUUCUCUGGUCCUCGAAAUAUGGUCCCACAGUUUUUCGUAUGAUGCAUGGAGGAAAAGAAGUCGGUAUAGUCUCCGAUCAACACGGGCAAAAGCAUCUCAACCUCAGACAUCAGUAGAAGUGUUUUCUCCCUCAAAUUGUCAUCGUCACGUAAAGUUGG